CGUGCUUAACACAUGCAAGUCGAGCGGUAAGGCCUUUCGGGGUACACGAGCGGCGAACGGGUGAGUAACACGUGGGUGAUCUGCCCUGCACUCUGGGAUAAGCCUGGGAAACUGGGUCUAAUACCGGAUAUGACUCCAGCAUGCAUGUGCUGGGGUGGAAAGCUUUUGUGGUGCAGGAUGGGCCCGCGGCCUAUCAGCUUGUUGGUGGGGUAAUGGCCUACCAAGGCGACGACGGGUAGCCGACCUGAGAGGGUGACCGGCCACACUGGGACUGAGACACGGCCCAGACUCCUACGGGAGGCAGCAGUGGGGAAUAUUGCACAAUGGGCGGAAGCCUGAUGCAGCGACGCCGCGUGAGGGAUGAAGGCCUUCGGGUUGUAAACCUCUUUCAGCAGGGACGAAGCGUGAGUGACGGUACCUGCAGAAGAAGCACCGGCUAACUACGUGCCAGCAGCCGCGGUAAUACGUAGGGUGCGAGCGUUGUCCGGAAUUACUGGGCGUAAAGAGUUCGUAGGCGGUUUGUCGCGUCGUUUGUGAAAACCCGGGGCUCAACUUCGGGCUUGCAGGCGAUACGGGCAGACUUGAGUGUUUCAGGGGAGACUGGAAUUCCUGGUGUAGCGGUGAAAUGCGCAGAUAUCAGGAGGAACACCGGUGGCGAAGGCGGGUCUCUGGGAAACAACUGACGCUGAGGAACGAAAGCGUGGGUAGCAAACAGGAUUAGAUACCCUGGUAGUCCACGCCGUAAACGGUGGGCGCUAGGUGUG
This 764-nucleotide ribosomal RNA is filed under the name Rhodococcoides fascians. RNAcentral's name for it is "bacterial SSU rRNA". It matches the Rfam family "Bacterial small subunit ribosomal RNA", at positions 43 to 824 of the family's 1533-position model. Lineage: Bacteria; Bacillati; Actinomycetota; Actinomycetes; Mycobacteriales; Nocardiaceae. The record is from RNAcentral.